CUACAUGAUGACAAAGGGCCAUAGUGCCUGAUAUAAUCCCAGCUCGUUGAAUGCCUCACCAAUUAACGCUAGAGCGCAUACUGAGAUAAAUUUUCGUCUGAUACA
RNAcentral lists this small nucleolar RNA (105 nucleotides) under Diaporthe ampelina. RNAcentral describes it as "A. fumigatus snoRNA Afu_304". It matches the Rfam family "A. fumigatus snoRNA Afu_304". Lineage: Eukaryota; Fungi; Ascomycota; Sordariomycetes; Diaporthales; Diaporthaceae. The record is from Rfam by way of RNAcentral.